Molecule: transfer RNA, 72 nt
Filed under: Planococcus sp. MB-3u-03
Lineage: Bacteria; Bacillati; Bacillota; Bacilli; Caryophanales; Caryophanaceae
Description: tRNA-Met
Rfam family: tRNA
About the family: Transfer RNA (tRNA) molecules are approximately 80 nucleotides in length. Their secondary structure includes four short double-helical elements and three loops (D, anti-codon, and T loops).
Source: RNAcentral
GGCGGCGUAGCUCAGCUGGCUAGAGCGUACGGUUCAUACCCGUAAGGUCGGGGUUCGAUCCCUCUGCCGCCA